RNAcentral lists this ribosomal RNA (492 nucleotides) under uncultured bacterium. RNAcentral describes it as "partial 16S ribosomal RNA". It matches the Rfam family "Bacterial small subunit ribosomal RNA", at positions 29 to 507 of the family's 1533-position model. The record is from RNAcentral.
AGUGAACGCUGGCGGUAGGCCUAACACAUGCAAGUCGAACGGCCGCACAGUAAGAGCUUGCUCUUACGGGUGGCGAGUGGCGGACGGGUGAGGAAUACAUCGGAAUCUACUUUUUCGUGGGUGAUAACGUAGGGAAACUUACGCUAAUACCGCAUACGACCUACGGGUGAAAGCAGGGGAUCUUCGGACCUUGCGCGAUUGAAUGAGCCGAUGUCGGAUUAGCUAGUUGGCGGGGUAAAGGCCCACCAAGGCGACGAUCCGUAGCUGGUCUGAGAGGAUGAUCAGCCACACUGGAACUGAGACACGGUCCAGACUCCUACGGGAGGCAGCAGUGGGGAAUAUUGGACAAUGGGCGAAAGCCUGAUCCAGCAAUACCGCGUGGGUGAAGAAGGCCUUCGGGUUGUAAAGCCCUUUUGUUGGGAAAGAAAAGCAGCAGGUUAAUACCCCGCUGUUCUGACGGUACCCAAAGAAUAAGCACCGGCUAACUUCGUG